AAUACCCCUCAACCACUCCUUCCAUCAUCCUCUCUCUCACGAAAGUGAACCCCUGAUGAGAAAGAACAGCAGAUCAGAUCUGACGAAAAAUCAUGAGUAGCAAAGAUGUUCUCCAUAAUUCCUUCUGGUCUAAAAUCACAGAUCUGAGUACAGAACGAGGAUCAACUACUUACCCAGUUCCAUUUGAUGCUUCAGAAAAUACUUCAUGCCAGAAAACAGGAGGAUCAAUUACUUACACAGAUCAUGCAUCAAACAAGACUCCAUACAUUAGACAAGAUUUUCCGACUGAUUUUCCAACAGUACAAACUGACGGAGAAGAUAACAACACAUACCA
Lolium rigidum is the source of this 334-nucleotide long non-coding RNA. RefSeq lists it as uncharacterized. The record is from RefSeq and is a predicted model, not a curated record. NCBI's taxonomy places the organism in Eukaryota, Viridiplantae, Streptophyta, Magnoliopsida, Poales, Poaceae. The transcript has 3 exons.